GACGAGGGACCCUAGCGUUGUUCGGAAUCAUUGGGCGUAAAGCGGGUGCAGGUGGCUUUGUAAGUCAGAUGUGAAAGCCCUGGGCUUAACCCAGGAAGUGCAUUUGAUACUGCGAAGCUUGAGUGCUGGAGAGGUUACUGGAAUACCUGGUGUAGUGGUGAAAUACGUAGAUAUCAGGUGGAACACCGGUGGCGAAGGCGGGUAACUGGCCAGACACUGACACUCAUACCCGAAAGCGUGGGGAUCAAACAGG
Molecule: ribosomal RNA, 253 nt
Filed under: uncultured bacterium
Lineage: Bacteria
Description: partial 16S ribosomal RNA
Rfam family: Bacterial small subunit ribosomal RNA
Source: RNAcentral